AACCCGCCUGCAUGAAGUUGGAAUCACUAGUAAUCGCGGAUCAGCAUGCCGCGGUGAAUGCGUUCUCGGGCCUUGUACACACCGCCCGUCACACCAUGAGAGUCGGGAACACCCGAAGUCCGUAGCCUAACCGCAAGGGGGGCGCGGCCGAAGGUGGGCUCGAUAAUUGGGGUGAAGUCGUAACAAGGUAGC
RNAcentral lists this ribosomal RNA (192 nucleotides) under uncultured bacterium. Its description in RNAcentral is "partial 16S ribosomal RNA". It matches the Rfam family "Bacterial small subunit ribosomal RNA", at positions 1309 to 1500 of the family's 1533-position model. The record is from RNAcentral.